This 430-nucleotide ribosomal RNA is filed under the name Bradiopsylla echidnae. Its description in RNAcentral is "partial 16S ribosomal RNA". The record is from RNAcentral. Lineage: Eukaryota; Metazoa; Arthropoda; Insecta; Siphonaptera; Lycopsyllidae.
UGUAAGGAUAAAUGGUCGAACAGACCAAUUUUUUAAACUUCUACACCUAAAAUUACCUUAAUCCAACAUCGAGGUCGCAAUCUUUUUUAUCGAUUUGUUCUCUUCAAAAAUAUUACGCUGUUAUCCCUUAAGUAACUUAAUCUUUUAAUCACAAAUUAUGGAUCAAAUCAUUAAUUUAUGAAAAAAAGUUUGUUAAAUUUUUUUAUCACCCCAAUAAAAUAUUAUAUAAAGCUUUAAAGGGUCUUCUCGUCCUUCAUAUAAAUUUAAGCUUUUUAACUUAAAAAUUAAAUUUUAAAACAAUUAAAUUAAGACAGUUAAUAUUUCAUUCAAUCAUUCAUUCCAGCAUCUAAUUAAGAAACUAUUGAUUAUGCUACCUUUGCACAGUCAAAAUACUGCGGCCUUUUUCAAUGGGCAGAUUAGACUUAAUAUU